Molecule: ribosomal RNA, 441 nt
Filed under: uncultured bacterium
Lineage: Bacteria
Description: partial 16S ribosomal RNA
Rfam family: Bacterial small subunit ribosomal RNA
Source: RNAcentral
CCUACGGGAGGCAGCAGUGGGGAAUAUUGCACAAUGGGGGCAACCCUGAUGCAGCGACGCCGCGUGAAGGAAGACGGUUUUCGGAUUGUACACUUCUGUUCUUAGUGAAGAAUAAUACCGUUAGCUCAGGCACACGCCACGGCUAACUACGUGCCAGCAGCCUCGGUAAUACGUAGGUGGCAAGCGUUGUCCUGAAUGACGGGGUGUAAAGUGAGCGCAGGCGGGAAGACCAGUCAGCUGUGAAAACUACGGGCUUAACUUGGAGACUGCAGUUGAAACUGGUUGUCUUGAGUGCAGUAGAGGUUGGUGGAAUUCCGAGUGUAGCGGUGAAAUGCGUAGAUAUGCGGAGGAACACCGGUGGCGAAGGCGGCUAACUGGGCUGUAACUGACGCUGAGGCUCGAAAGUGUGGGGAGCAAACAGGAUUAGAUACCCCAGUAGUC